GCGAGCGUUAAUCGGAAUUACUGGGCGUAAAGUGUGCGCAGGCGGCCGCGCAAGUCGAGUGUGAAAGCCCCGGGCUCAACCUGGGAACUGCGUUUGAAACUGCAAGGCUAGAGUAUGGGAGAGGGAGGUAGAAUUCCACGUGUAGCAGUGAAAUGCGUAGAGAUGUGGAGGAAUACCAAUGGCGAAGGCAGCCUCCUGGCCUAAUACUGACGCUCAUGCACGAAAGCGUGGGGAGCAAACA
RNAcentral lists this ribosomal RNA (241 nucleotides) under uncultured bacterium. RNAcentral describes it as "partial 16S ribosomal RNA". It matches the Rfam family "Bacterial small subunit ribosomal RNA", at positions 534 to 774 of the family's 1533-position model. The record is from RNAcentral.